This 3015-nucleotide long non-coding RNA is filed under the name Homo sapiens (human). RNAcentral's name for it is "HSALNT0235230". Lineage: Eukaryota; Metazoa; Chordata; Mammalia; Primates; Hominidae. The record is from RNAcentral.
CUGCGCCACCCGCUCAGGGCUCCCCCCACCAGGUGAGCUGGACCCUGGGGGUCUCCACAGACACCUCAGCUAGUCCUGACCUGCUGGCCAGACGCCCACCAGCCCUGCCUUCCAGAGGGCCCCGCUACAUCGUCUUCAUACCCCGGGGCCUCCCAGCCGCCCCACCUGCAGGGCUGCUAGAACUUUCUCCCGAGACAAAGCCUGCCAUUGUGCCUCCCUGGAGCCCGUCUCUGCAGUGGGGGGCAGGGUGUGUUGAGCGUCCCGGGUCCAGUGUCUCCGGCGUGUCCUGCAUCUCGGCAGCCAGCUCCUCUGCAGCUCAGGCCCCGUGAGUCACAGCCGCUUCCUCAAAUGCUUUGGCUGACCGCAUCCCCCCGCCCCGCCAGAACCCUGGAUGCCGGAGCCCUCCCAGCGAGAGCCGUGUUUAUUUUACUUUACAUACAUUUUCCAACACGGAGCGGCUUGCACACAUGCAGCUCUUAGGCCCGGGCCGCACGUCUCAGAAGCCCCGUGUGCGACUUUGACCGCCGCACGAUCCUCUGCCGGGGGAGGUGGGCCCGCUGCGCUUUGGGAGCACCCGCGCCCGACACUGAGGUCUCGGUGCUGUGUUCGGCCUCUUCGUCCCUGCGGGUCCCCUCUGGGAGCAGAGGCGGUCGGAAAACCCUGGGGCUGAAGUGCAGGCUUCGGGAGGACGCGACCUGCCAAGAUCAGCUCCCGGCACGUGAUGGGAGCCUGGCUCACCUUCCCCCAGCGCACGAUGGGCCGCAGCCUCCCCGGUCGGCCUGGCCUGCUGGAAAGGAGCAGCUCUGUUUCCAGAGGCUUCUGGCGAAGCCCACGGCCUCCCAUUGUUGGCUGAUUUAUAAGGAAAGAGGGGAAAGGCCAAGUGUGGAUGCCAUUAGCAUAACCUAAUCCAGACCCCAUGACAAGUCCAGGAUCCUGCAGGGAGAGGGCAUCCUUGAACGUGAAGGACUGGCUUUGGAAACUUGGCCUCCCGGAAGAAAGGUCUCCGGGCCCACCCACACCCACCUUGUGGACGCCCCCGCAGUCGAAUACACUCCACAGGAAGACGGACCACAAACAGCAGCAGCCUCCGGUGUCGGCCCAGUGAUCCGGGAGCUCAGAGUUGCAGCAAGCUUAAACUUCCUUAAAAACAAACCUCUGGGAAGAGGAAAACGAGGCAAGAUGCUGAGAAAAAGUCAUCUCCCACUCUGCCCUUCUCUGGCAAAUCGAAGUGUCCUCUUGUGGGAGGCGGUGGGCAGCGACACUCCUGUUGGACGUCAGUGCUCUCGGGAUGGGCCCGGCCACCCCGGAGCAGAACUCACUUAGGGCCUGGUGCCCCUGUGCCCAGUUCUCAGAACGUCGGAGUGCUCAGUUCUCAGAACGCCGGAGUGCCCCAUUCAUAACCUGCAGCCCCGUUCAUAGCCUGCAGCUCCCCUCCUUCCUCUCCUCCCGGUCGUCAGGGAGCACCCCCAGCUCCCCUCCCCACUCUCAAACCCUCCUCCUCCCUCCCCUCUCUCAUUUCCCUGUUUGCAGGAUCUCCUCCUGCCCACUCUCCAGCCCAGGUCCUCCCCUCUCAUCUCCAAUUCUGCUUCAUGGGCCAUGACAGCAGGCAGGCCAUGGCCUGCUCUCAGCAGUUUGAUCGAUGGACUAAGGAGAUCACUCCUAUGAGAGUGAAAAAGUCAAAUGUGCCUGAGAUUCGGAUGGGGAGCUCUCAAAGCUACGGAUUGCAAGAGUCAACACCGCCUCAAAAGUACAAGGCCGGCCGGGUGCAGUGGCUCACACCUGUAAUCCCAGCACUUUGGGAGACUGAGGCGGGUGGAUCACCUGAGGUCAGGAGCUCAAGACCAGCCUGACCAACAUGGUGAAAUCCCGUCUCUAUUAAAAAUACAAAAAAGAUUAGCCGGGUGUGGUGGUGCAUGCUUGUAGUCCCAGCUACUCGGGAGGCUGAGGCAGGGGGAGCACUUGAACCCGGGAGGUGGAGGUUGCAGUGAGCCGAGAUUGCACCAUUGCACUCCAGCCUGGGCAACAGAGUGAGACCCUGCCUCAAAAAAAUAAAAAAAUAAAAGUACGAGGCCCGGUUUAAAUGCAGGAGGAAUCUGGUGAGCGAGUUUCACUCUGAUGCAACAGAAAAGCCAAGCCAAGCCUUGGCUGUGCCUGGUCUUGGCCGGGGAGCCACAGGCAGGGUCUGCUGGUUUCGGUGUCAGGGGCACAUCCCCAGGACCACGUCUGAGAUGGGAAGUGCCUUGAUGGAAAACUGAUACCUUUUUCUUUCCGAGUAACUUUAGAACAUGUCGCUUCAAAUAUAACUAAUAUCCUGAUUUCAGUGGACUUGCAUGGAAGGAAACGCAAGUUCAUUUGCCAGUGGGGGGUGAGGACUGGGAGAGUGGGGAGCAGGGUGGGGAAGAGGGGAGCAUUCCACAAGCCGCAAGAGCCUGGACACCUCCAGCCUUCAAUAAAUAGCAUUUGAAUUUGCUGUGCCUAAUUCAACCUUGCAUUUGCGUAGUGAAAGUCAGGCCCGCGGUGUGUAUAGUUUGGCACAUGAGUUCAGCUCGGGUCCCCUUGAUCUGCUUCUGUGUUCUCACUCUCUCCCUGCCCGGCACGCCCCUCUUUUUCUAUCCAGAUGAGCGAAGGGGUGAAUUAGUCCAGAAAUGUUUCUGCUCCAGUCAAACAAACAUUAUCACCUGUCAGUCAAACAUUAUCACCUGUCAGUCACCAGAGACGUGCACGGGUGCCUUCUCCUUUGCCUCGAGGUUUCUAUGACCUGGGAAAAGCCCAUCCCAUUCCCGGAUGAGGCUUCCCUGCCACGGGUCACAGACACACGAGCUACGCCCCACCUUGCCAAAACUUUCAAGGUGGGAUGGAAGAAUCUGUCGUUUCUGCAUUUACGAUCCCGUACGUGUUCCGUGCUGCAUCUGUUCUGGUUGGGUUGUCUCUCCUCUCAAGGCCUCUUUUGACCCAAACUUACUGCAAAGCAGAUGAGUGAGCCAGAAGCUGCGCUGGGCGUUGGGGGUUGUGGCA